Molecule: RNA transcript, 999 nt
Organism: Ceratina calcarata
Lineage: Eukaryota; Metazoa; Arthropoda; Insecta; Hymenoptera; Apidae
Exons: 2
Source: RefSeq, a predicted model, not a curated record
AAAAUCACCUCAGGAACCUGUACCAUGUACCACUAGUCCUGGGACACCCUGUAUACAGCAUGUGUAUUCGUCCUGUCCUUAGAUACGGGCUGCCUAUUUAUUGGGACUACCUAUCCAAGGCAAGAAAACACAGGGUACAGUGGCACAAAACAAAAUCUUAAAAGCAAUAUUUAACUUGCCGUGACCCCAUCCUACGUCGAGACUACACGAAUGGGCGUCGUAAAUAAGAGGGAAAGAAACCGAAAAUGUUCGACGAAUACUCCGCAUAGCAGAGAACAAGUCUUCUUCGUAAGCCAAGCCGAAGUACUUGUGCGAGUCGGCAACUCAGUAUUCAAAAGUAUGGAUCAGACGAUUUCGUAUUUCAGCUAGCAACAAGAUACGUACAAGAGGACGAUAUUGGUAUCGCUCCGGGUCAUUAUAGUCAAUCGUUGGCUGACCGCUGGUUAAAAAACGGCGUUAUCGCGGAUGGUUUGCAGUGGAUUUGUAGUUCCUCACCCAAAACUGCAGUGCACCGUGAGAUUAAAUCGGUACGGUCCUCUCUGGUAAGGUCCACAGCGUAGCUAACAAGGUGCUGCGCUUGUGCAUGCCCAGUAAGCGUUUCGACCUUACAAUCCGAGCUCCCAUGCAUAACAUGUCCUUGCAAGCGGAUCACCAUUUUUGAUGCAACGAAAUCAAUGAAAGAUUAAAAGACUAUCUUCACCCAUACAAUUGCGUAUGGAAAAAGACACGAAGAAUAGAAAAUACUCUGUUUAACUAGAAAAAGAAAACCAACAAGAGAAAAUACUCUCUUCGACAAUAUAAUCCAUUGAAUCAGUUUCAGCAAAAUUCUGCCGUUUUCAAGCAGAAUAACUAAUCAACCUCUUCGGGUUGUUUUUGUUGUGUUACAGCGACCGGCACUACGAAGUCUGCCGCACAGAUUAAGGUCUUCGCCUCAACCUCGAGGGCAAUAAAACUAAUAUUAUUUAAUAGAUAAUAUCUGUAUUGAUCGUUUAGAAUCGG